This 1407-nucleotide ribosomal RNA is filed under the name uncultured prokaryote. RNAcentral describes it as "partial 16S ribosomal RNA". It matches the Rfam family "Bacterial small subunit ribosomal RNA". The record is from RNAcentral.
AAUGAACGUUGGCAGCGUGGAUUAGGCAUGCAAGUCGAGCGACAAGUCUUCCUUCGGGGAGAUGGAGGAGCGGCUAACGGGGUAGUAAAGCAUCGGAACGUACCCUUCAGUCGGGAAUAGCCAUGGGAAACUGUGAGUAAUGCCCGAUGAUAUCUUCGGAUCAAAGGUCUACUGCGAGGAGAGCGGCCGACGUGGUACUAGGUUGUUGGUGAGGUAACGGCUCACCAAGCCGAUGAUGCCUAGGGGGUGUGAGAGCAUGGCCCCCACCACUGGGACUGAGACACUGCCCAGACACCUACGGGUGGCUGCAGUCGAGAAUCUUCGGCAAUGGGCGCAAGCCUGACCGAGCGACGCCGCGUGCGGGACGACGGCCCUUGGGUUGUAAACCGCUGUCAGAGGGGAUGAAAGCGCAAGCUUGACAGAGCCUCAGAGGAAGCGCGGGCUAAGUUCGUGCCAGCAGCCGCGGUAAGACGAACUGCGCAAACGUUAUUCGGAAUCACUGGGCUUACAGGGUGCGUAGGCGGUUCGCCAGGUCAGAUGGGAAAUCCCACAGCUCAACUGUGGAACUGCAUUUGAAACCUGCGAACUUGAGUGAACUAGAGGCAUACGGAACUUCAGGUGGAGCGGUGAAAUGUGUUGAGAUCUGAAGGAACACCAGAGGCGAAGGCGGUAUGCUGGAGUUUGUCUGACGCUGAGGCACGAAAGCCAGGGGAGCGAACGGGAUUAGAUACCCCGGUAGUCCUGGCCGUAAACGAUCUGUACUAGACGGUGGGAGGCUUGCCUUUCACGGUCGUAGCGAAAGCGAUAAGUACAGCGCCUGGGGAGUAUGGUCGCAAGGCUGAAACUCAAAGGAAUUGACGGGGGCUCACACAAGCGGUGGAGCAUGUGGCUUAAUUCGAGGCAACGCGAAGAACCUUAUCCCAGACUUGACAUGUAUGGAUUAGCAAUGUGAAAGCAUUGUGACGCCUUCGGGUGGAACAUACACAGGUGCUGCAUGGUUGUCGUCAGCUCGUGCCUUGAGGUGUUCGGUUAAGUCCGUUAACGAGCGCAACCCAUGUCUUUAGUUAUUAUGUCUAAAGAGACUGCCUUGGUUAACAAGGAGGAAGGUGUGGAUGACGUCAAAUCAGCAUGGCUUUUACGUCUGGGGCUACACACAUGAUACAAUGGUAUAUACAAAGAGCAGCGAUACAGUAAUGUGGAGCGAAUCUCAAAAAUAUAUCUCAGUCCGGAUUGAGGUCUGCAACUCGACCUCAUGAAGUUGGAAUUGCUAGUAAUCGUGAAUCAGAUAUGUCACGGUGAAUAUGUUCCUGGGUCUUGUACUCACCGCCCGUCAUGGCAUGGGAGGCAGUAAUAUUGGAAGUCCCUCUAGUAAUAAGAGGGCCCAUAGUAGGACUGCUGACUGGGCUA